RNAcentral lists this long non-coding RNA (535 nucleotides) under Cicer arietinum (chickpea). Its description in RNAcentral is "long non-coding RNA (CARI_LNC002831)". The record is from RNAcentral. Lineage: Eukaryota; Viridiplantae; Streptophyta; Magnoliopsida; Fabales; Fabaceae.
CUCUCCUCCCCAAAAGCUUGAAGACUUCUCAUGUUUCAUUAAUGGUUUCAUCUUCCAUUUUUCUCAUCAAAAUCUUGUCAUCCUUAUGAUGAGAUAUGAUUUGUGCUACCAACAUAGAAGUUGAUCUAUUUGUUUUGUAUAUGGUAAAUUUAUUGUUGUGAAGUUUGGUCGAUUUUUGUGGAAGGUUCAAUUAUGUUGGAAUUUUGUUGAAUUUUUGAUGAUUUUUUAUCAUCUUAUUUGUUUAUUGUUCAUUCAGUAUUGGAUUUCUUGAUUUUAUUGAAAAUUUAAUCUAUGUUGAUUGUUUUUUAAGAUUUGUAUUUGACAUUUAUAGAUUUGCUUGCUUCAAGACCGCAAUAAACCGACCGUAUGAUGUUCACCACCAAAACUGCCACCUGAACAAACUUUUGUCUCAAACGAAAGGUGAUGGUCCUCUAUAUGUCACCUGCAGUUUGUUGUGAGUUGAGUGUCUGAGCCUGUAAUCGAUCAAUUGUCAACCCCUAUAUGUGACACAAUGUGAUUGAAUAAUGAUGGUGAU